GAUGAACGCUGGCGGCGUGCCUAAUACAUGCCAGUCGAGCGAACAGACGAGGAGCUUGCUCCUCUGACGUUAGCGGCGGACGGGUGAGUAACACGUGGAUAACCUACCUAUAAGACUGGGAUAACUUCGGGAAACCGGAGCUAAUACCGGAUAAUAUAUUGAACCGCAUGGUUCAAUAGUGAAAGACGGUUUUGCUGUCACUUAUAGAUGGAUCCGCGCCGCAUUAGCUAGUUGGUAAGGUAACGGCUUACCAAGGCAACGAUGCGUAGCCGACCUGGGAGGGGGUACGGCCACACUGGAACUGAGACACGGUCCAGACUCCUACGGGAGGCAGCAGUAGGGAAUCUUCGGCAAUGGGCGAAAGCCUGACGGAGCAACGCCGCGUGAGUGAUGAAGGUCUUCGGAUCGUAAAACUCUGUUAUUAGGGAAGAACAAAUGUGUAAGUAACUAUGCACGUCUUGACGGUACCUAAUCAGAAAGCCACGGCUAACUACGUG
RNAcentral lists this ribosomal RNA (497 nucleotides) under uncultured bacterium. Its description in RNAcentral is "partial 16S ribosomal RNA". It matches the Rfam family "Bacterial small subunit ribosomal RNA", at positions 28 to 507 of the family's 1533-position model. The record is from RNAcentral.